AGGAACAUUCUGUGGAACGGGCUGGUUUAAACCGGUCUGAUCCGGUAUUCGGGUUCCAGCUGUUUCACGGCGUUCCA
MicroRNA precursor from Ciona intestinalis (vase tunicate), 77 nucleotides. The record is from Ensembl. NCBI's taxonomy places the organism in Eukaryota, Metazoa, Chordata, Ascidiacea, Phlebobranchia, Cionidae.